CCUACGGGAGGCAGCAGUAGGGAAUCUUCCGCAAUGGACGAAAGUCUGACGGAGCAACGCCGCGUGAACGAUGAAGGCCUUCGGGUCGUAAAGUUCUGUUGUUAGGGAAGAACAAGUGCUAGUUGAAUAAGCUGGCACCUUGACGGUACCUAACCAGAAAGCCACGGCUAACUACGUGCCAGCAGCCGCGGUAAUACGUAGGUGGCAAGCGUUGUCCGGAAUUAUUGGGCGUAAAGCGCGCGCAGGCGGUUUCUUAAGUCUGAUGUGAAAGCCCCCGGCUCAACCGGGGAGGGUCAUUGGAAACUGGGAAACUUGAGUGCAGAAGAGGAAAGUGGAAUUCCAAGUGUAGCGGUGAAAUGCGUAGAGAUUUGGAGGAACACCAGUGGCGAAGGCGACUUUCUGGUCUGUAACUGACGCUGAGGCGCGAAAGCGUGGGGAGCAAACAGGAUUAGAUACCCUGGUAGUCCACGCUGUAAACGAUGAGUGCUAAGUGUUAGAGGGUUUCCGCCCUUUAGUGCUGAAGUUAACGCAUUAAGCACUCCGCCUGGGGGAGGUACGGUCGCGAGACUAGAACUUAAAUAGAAGUUAGUACGGCGUGAGACGUGCCGACGGACGACGACGAGGGAGGUUAGG
RNAcentral lists this ribosomal RNA (633 nucleotides) under uncultured bacterium. RNAcentral describes it as "bacterial SSU rRNA". It matches the Rfam family "Bacterial small subunit ribosomal RNA", at positions 338 to 1431 of the family's 1533-position model. The record is from RNAcentral.